UACGUAGGGUGCGAGCGUUGUCCGGAAUUAUUGGGCGUAAAGAGCUUGUAGGCGGUUUGUCGCGUCUGCUGUGAAAAUCAGGGGCUCAACCCCGGACUUGCAGUGGGUACGGGCAGACUAGAGUGUGGUAGGGGAGACUGGAAUUCCUGGUGUAGCGGUGAAAUGCGCAGAUAUCAGGAGGAACACCGAUGGCGAAGGCAGGUCUCUGGGCCACUACUGACGCUGAGAAGCGAAAGCAUGGGGAGCGAACAGG
Molecule: ribosomal RNA, 253 nt
Filed under: uncultured bacterium
Lineage: Bacteria
Description: partial 16S ribosomal RNA
Rfam family: Bacterial small subunit ribosomal RNA
Source: RNAcentral